AUACAGAGGGAGCAAGCGUUAUUCGGAAUCACUGGGCGUAAAGGACGCGUAGGCGGGUUUGUAAGUCAGGUGUGGAAUCCUACAGCUCAACUGUAGAACUGCACUUGAAACUACAGACCUAGAGUAUGGAAGGGGCAGAUGGAAUUAGUGGUGUAGGGGUAAAAUCCGUAGAUAUCACUAGGAAUAACGAAAGCGAAGGCGAUCUGCUGGGACAUUUCUGACGCUGAGGCGUGAAAGCGUGGGGAGCAAACAGGAUUAGAAACCCUAGUAGUCC
This 274-nucleotide ribosomal RNA is filed under the name uncultured bacterium. Its description in RNAcentral is "partial 16S ribosomal RNA". It matches the Rfam family "Bacterial small subunit ribosomal RNA", at positions 523 to 796 of the family's 1533-position model. The record is from RNAcentral.